This 239-nucleotide ribosomal RNA is filed under the name uncultured bacterium. Its description in RNAcentral is "partial 16S ribosomal RNA". It matches the Rfam family "Bacterial small subunit ribosomal RNA", at positions 96 to 334 of the family's 1533-position model. The record is from RNAcentral.
CGGCGAACGGGUGAGUAACACGUGAGUAAUCUGCCCUUCACUUGGGGAUAACGUCCAGAAAUGGGUGCUAAUACCCGGUACUCCUGGUCCUGCGCAUGUGGGGUUGGGGAAAGGUUUUUCUGGUGGGGGAUGUGCUCGCGGCCUAUCAGCUUGUUGGUGGGGUAAUGGCCUACCAAGGCUUUGACGGGUAGCCGGCCUGAGAGGGUGACCGGCCACACUGGGACUGAGACACGGCCCAG